CACCAGCUAUUUGGUGUUGGUGUUCAGGAGAAGAGCCUUCUAAUAAUAUUUAUUCAACUUAUAGAAUUAAAGUUCUGCUAGUUUUUUUCUGUAGGAAAUAAAUAUUGUAUAAAAUAUUUAAAAUUACCUACAUUUUUGAUGUUUACAAUGCCCAUUGUGUGUAAUACUGGAAUUUCCUACUACCCGUGAACGCCUCAUCUUUUACCUGACUGCCGGACAUCCGCCUUUCCGCACACUUCGUUGAGUCCGCUCUCGAGUGAAAUAAAGCUUGGUUUUGCCUGUGCUGAGUGAAACAGAACUUCGGUUUUGCCUUUGCUGGAUACUGAUUGGUCGUCGCAAGUCUGGUAAGUAAAGGUUUUGUCUGCGGUACAGUG
Long non-coding RNA from Oreochromis niloticus (Nile tilapia), 374 nucleotides. RefSeq lists it as uncharacterized. The transcript has 4 exons. NCBI's taxonomy places the organism in Eukaryota, Metazoa, Chordata, Actinopteri, Cichliformes, Cichlidae. The record is from RefSeq and is a predicted model, not a curated record.